UGGGGAAUAUUGCACAAUGGGCGCAAGCCUGAUGCAGCAACGCCGCGUGAGGGACGACGGCCUUCGGGUUGUAAACCUCUUUUAGUAGGGAAGAAGCGAAAGUGACGGUACCUGCAGAAAAAGCACCGGCUAACUACGUGCCAGCAGCCGCGGUAAUACGUAGGGUGCGAGCGUUGUCCGGAAUUAUCGGGCGUAAAGAGCUCGUAGGCGGUCUGUCGCGUCUGCUGUGAAAAACCCGAGGCUCAACCUCAGGCCUGCAGUGGGUACGGGCAGACUAGAGUGCGGUAGGGGAGAAUGGAAUUCCUGGUGUAGCGGUGGAAUGCGCAGAUAUCAGGAGGAACACCGAUGGCGAAGGCAGUUCUCUGGGCCGUAACUGACGCUGAGGAGCGAAAGCGUGGGGAGCGAACAGGAUUAGAUACCCUGGUAGUCCACGCCGUAAACGUUGGGCGCUAGAUGUGGGGACCAUUCCACGGUUUCCGUGUCGCAGCUAACGCAUUAAGCGCCCCGCCUGGGGAGUACGGCCGCAAGGCU
This 531-nucleotide ribosomal RNA is filed under the name uncultured bacterium. RNAcentral describes it as "partial 16S ribosomal RNA". It matches the Rfam family "Bacterial small subunit ribosomal RNA", at positions 355 to 895 of the family's 1533-position model. The record is from RNAcentral.